This 408-nucleotide ribosomal RNA is filed under the name uncultured bacterium. RNAcentral's name for it is "partial 16S ribosomal RNA". It matches the Rfam family "Bacterial small subunit ribosomal RNA", at positions 28 to 526 of the family's 1533-position model. The record is from RNAcentral.
GACGAACGCUGGCGGCGUGCUUAACACAUGCAAGUCGACAUGAGUGGCGAACGGGUGGGUAAUGCGUGGGUAACCUGCCCUCCUUUUUGGGGUAAGCCUUGGAAACGGGGUCGAAUACCGAAUAAAGGGGGAUGGGCUCGCGGCCUGUCAGCUUGUUGGUGGGGUGAUGGCCUACCAAGGCGGUUACGGGUAGCCGGGCUGAGAGGGUGAACGGCGACAUAGGGACUGAGCUACGGCCCAGAGUACUACGGUAGGCAGCAGUGGGGGAUAUUGAACAAUGGGCGAAAGCCUGAUGCAGCGACGCUGCGUGGGGGAUGAAGGCUUUCGGGUUGUAAACCUCUUUCGCUACCGAACGGGUAGGUGGAGAAGAAGCGCCGGCUAACUACGUGCCAGCAGCCGCGGUAAUUC